Molecule: unclassified non-coding RNA, 229 nt
Filed under: Hevea brasiliensis (rubber tree)
Lineage: Eukaryota; Viridiplantae; Streptophyta; Magnoliopsida; Malpighiales; Euphorbiaceae
Source: RNAcentral
GGUGGAGGUAACAUUGUUGUGGAGUAGUUGUCCAGGUGACUAUCAGUAUCACAAAUUCACGAUCCUCUUGUGACUCAUACCAAUUUCAAUGUCGAUAUCAAUCUUUCUCAUUUCAUGACGUAAAGGCAGGGGUAAGGAGAAAAUUCACAAGCUUGAUGUCUAACUUGGUACAGGUCGAGGCAACAGAGGCUGAAGAGCCUUUACGACAAUGCUCAUGUUUGGCCGGAAG